Molecule: ribosomal RNA, 860 nt
Filed under: Psathyrella sp. AM2-2017
Lineage: Eukaryota; Fungi; Basidiomycota; Agaricomycetes; Agaricales; Psathyrellaceae
Description: LSU rRNA
Rfam family: Eukaryotic large subunit ribosomal RNA
Source: RNAcentral
CCCUAGUAACUGCGAGUGAAGCGGGAAAAGCUCAAAUUUAAAAUCUGGUGGUCUUCGGCCAUCCGAGUUGUAAUCUAGAGAAGUGUUACCCGCGUCGGACCGUGUACAAGUCUCCUGGAAUGGAGCGUCAUAGAGGGUGAGAAUCCCGUCUUUGACACGGACUACCGAGGCUUUGUGGUGCGCUCUCAAAGAGUCGAGUUGUUUGGGAAUGCAGCUCAAAAUGGGUGGUAAAUUCCAUCUAAAGCUAAAUAUUGGCGAGAGACCGAUAGCGAACAAGUACCGUGAGGGAAAGAUGAAAAGAACUUUGGAAAGAGAGUUAAACAGUACGUGAAAUUGCUAAAAGGGAAACGCUUGAAGUCAGUCGCGUUGGCCGGAAAUCAGCCUUGCUUUUGCUGGGUGUACUUUCUGGUUGACGGGCCAGCAUCAGUUUUGACCGGUGGAAAAAGUCUAGGGGAAUGUGGCAUCUUCGGAUGUGUUAUAGCCCUUGGUCGUAUACAUCGGUUGGGACUGAGGAACUCAGCACGCCGCAAGGCCGGGUCUUUGACCACGUUCGUGCUUAGGAUGCUGGCAUAAUGGCUUUAAUCGACCCGUCUUGAAACACGGACCAAGGAGUCUAACAUGCCUGCGAGUGUUUGGGUGGAAAACCCGGACGCGUAAUGAAAGUGAAAGUUGAGAUCCCUGUCAUGGGGAGCAUCGACGCCCGGACCAGAAGUUCUCUGACGGCCCUGCGGUAGAGCAUGUAUGUUGGGACCCGAAAGAUGGUGAACUAUGCCUGAAUAGGGUGAAGCCAGAGGAAACUCUGGUGGAGGCUCGUAGCGAUUCUGACGUGCAAAUCGAUCGUCAAAUUUGGGUAUAGGGGC